GAUGAACGCUGGCGGCGUGCCUAAUACAUGCAAGUCGAGCGAACGGACGAGAAGCUUGCUUUUCUGAUGUUAGCGGCGGACGGGUGAGUAACACGUGGAUAACCUACCUAUAAGACUGGGAUAACUUCGGGAAACCGGAGCUAAUACCGGAUAAUAUUUUGAACCGCAUGGUUCAAAAGUGAAAGACGGGCUUGCUGUCACUUAUAGAUGGAUCCGCGCUGCAUUAGCUAGUUGGUAAGGUAACGGCUUACCAAGGCAACGAUGCAUAGCCGACCUGAGAGGGUGAUCGGCCACACUGGAACUGAGACACGGCCCAGACUCCUACGGGAGGCAGCAGUGGGGAAUCUUCCGCAAUGGGCGAAAGCCUGACGGAGCAACGCCGCGUGAGUGAUGAAGGUCUUCGGAUCGUAAAACUCUGUUAUUAGGGAAGAACAUAUGUGUAAGUAACUGUGCACAUCUUGACGGUACCUAAUCAGAAAGCCACGGCUAACUACGUG
Molecule: ribosomal RNA, 497 nt
Filed under: uncultured bacterium
Lineage: Bacteria
Description: partial 16S ribosomal RNA
Rfam family: Bacterial small subunit ribosomal RNA
Source: RNAcentral